ACAGCUCAAAUUUGAAAUCUGGCUCUUUGGNGUCCGAGUUGUAAUUUGCAGAGGGCGCUUUGGCAUUGGCAGCGGUCCAAGUUCCUUGGAACAGGACGUCACAGAGGGUGAGAAUCCCGUACGUGGUCGCUANCCUUUACCGUGUAAAGCCCCUUCGACGAGUCGAGUUGUUUGGGAAUGCAGCUCUAAAUGGGAGGUAAAUUUCUUCUAAAGCUAAAUACUGGCCAGAGACCGAUAGCGCACAAGUAGAGUGAUCGAAAGAUGAAAAGCACUUUGGAAAGAGAGUUAAAAAGCACGUGAAAUUGUUGAAAGGGAAGCGCUUGCAGCCAGACUUGCCUGUAGUUGCUCAUCCGGGUUUUUACCCGGUGCACUCUUCUAUAGGCAGGCCAGCAUCAGUUUGGGCGGUUGGAUAAAGGUCUCUGUCACGUACCUCCUCUCGGGGAGAACUUAUAGGGGAGACGUAAUGCAACCAGCCUGGACUGAGGUCCGCGCAUCUGCUAGGAUGCUGGCGUAAUGGCUGUAAGCGGC
RNAcentral lists this ribosomal RNA (528 nucleotides) under Ascochyta sp. OTU2 TS-2013. RNAcentral describes it as "eukaryotic LSU rRNA". It matches the Rfam family "Eukaryotic large subunit ribosomal RNA", at positions 104 to 648 of the family's 3401-position model. The record is from RNAcentral. Lineage: Eukaryota; Fungi; Ascomycota; Dothideomycetes; Pleosporales; Didymellaceae.